RNAcentral lists this ribosomal RNA (254 nucleotides) under uncultured bacterium. RNAcentral's name for it is "partial 16S ribosomal RNA". It matches the Rfam family "Bacterial small subunit ribosomal RNA", at positions 524 to 776 of the family's 1533-position model. The record is from RNAcentral.
UACGUAGGGUGCUAGCGUUGUCCGGAUUUAUUGGGCGUAAAGGGCUCGUAGGCGGCGUGUCGCGUCGGGAGUGAAAGCCCGCUGCUUAACGGCGGGUUGGCUUCCGGUACGGGCAUCGCUGGAGUGCGGCAGGGGAGACUGGAAUUCUCGGUGUAGCAGUGAAAUGCGUGGAUAUCGAGAAGAACACUUAGGGCGAAGGCAAGACUCUGGACAAAUGCUGACGCUCAUGCACGAAGGCUAGGGUAGCGAACGGG